Non-coding RNA from Dendroctonus ponderosae (mountain pine beetle), 93 nucleotides. The record is from Rfam. Lineage: Eukaryota; Metazoa; Arthropoda; Insecta; Coleoptera; Curculionidae.
AUCGCUUCUCGGCACUAUGUGCUAAGAUCAAAGUGUAGUAUCUGUUCUUAUCAGCUUAAUAUCUGAUACGCCCCGCAUGCGGGGCCAGUAUAU